RNAcentral lists this ribosomal RNA (439 nucleotides) under uncultured bacterium. RNAcentral describes it as "bacterial SSU rRNA". It matches the Rfam family "Bacterial small subunit ribosomal RNA", at positions 958 to 1397 of the family's 1533-position model. The record is from RNAcentral.
AACGCGAAGAACCUUACCUGGGCUUGAACCGCUACUGACCAACGGUAGAAAUAUCGUCUUCCCGCAAGGGACAGUAGUAGAGGUGCUGCAUGGCUGUCGUCAGCUCGUGCCGUGAGGUGUUGGGUUAAGUCCCGCAACGAGCGCAACCCUUAUUCGUAGUUGCCACCCGCAAGGGGGAACUCUACGAGGACUGCUCCGGAUAACGGAGAGGAAGGUGGGGAUGACGUCAAGUCAGCACGGCCUUUAUGUCCAGGGCUACACACGUGUUACAAUGCGCGGCACAGACUGUUGCGAACCCGCGAGGGGGAGCUAAUCGGAAAAAACCGCGCUCAGUUCGGAUUGCAGUCUGCAACUCGACUGCAUGAAGCUGGAAUCGCUAGUAAUGGCGUAUCAGAUCGACGCCGUGAAUACGUUCCCGGGCCUUGUACACACCGGCUAC